Molecule: ribosomal RNA, 118 nt
Organism: Prolemur simus (greater bamboo lemur)
Lineage: Eukaryota; Metazoa; Chordata; Mammalia; Primates; Lemuridae
Source: Ensembl
AUCUAUGGCUAUCCCACCCUGGAAGUACAGGUCUUGUCUGAUCUCAGAAGCUAAGCUGGGUUGGCCCCAGUUAAUACUUGAAUGAAAGACCACCUGGCAGUUCUGGGGGCUGUAGGCU